CUAUUAGAUGUUUUCGUACCAAAGUUCAGCAGUAUAACAGUCUGACGCCAUAUAUUUAUUUAACUAAAAUAUGGCUUGUGAUAUUUUGCUGCAUUUGAGGUAAUGUUCUUAAUAACAUUAAGAAAAUGAUAGUAAUUAUCCCCUUUCUUUUUAAUGCAUAUUUAAAUGGAAAUGGUUUUUUGUGAUCAAGAUGAAAAGAAUAGAGCACAUAUUUCGAAGUGGCUAAGGUUAUCCAUUAGAA
Molecule: long non-coding RNA, 241 nt
Filed under: Gossypium barbadense (sea-island cotton)
Lineage: Eukaryota; Viridiplantae; Streptophyta; Magnoliopsida; Malvales; Malvaceae
Description: long non-coding RNA (GBAR_LNC022991)
Source: RNAcentral